This 87-nucleotide transfer RNA is filed under the name Intestinimonas butyriciproducens. RNAcentral's name for it is "tRNA-Leu". It matches the Rfam family "tRNA". Rfam says of the family: Transfer RNA (tRNA) molecules are approximately 80 nucleotides in length. Their secondary structure includes four short double-helical elements and three loops (D, anti-codon, and T loops). RNAcentral also lists the same sequence under 4 other names. Lineage: Bacteria; Bacillati; Bacillota; Clostridia; Eubacteriales. The record is from RNAcentral.
GCCGGUGUGAUGGAACUGGCAGACGUACGGGACUCAAAAUCCCGCGGUGGCAACACCGUGCGGGUUCGACCCCCGCCACCGGCACCA